GGCUCAGGACGAACGCUGGCGGCGUGCUUAACACAUGCAAGUCGAACGAUGAACCACUUCGGUGGGGAUUAGUGGCGAACGGGUGAGUAACACGUGGGCAAUCUGCCCUUCACUCUGGGACAAGCCCUGGAAACGGGGUCUAAUACCGGAUAACACUUCCACUCUCCUGAGUGGAGGUUAAAAGCUCCGGCGGUGAAGGAUGAGCCCGCGGCCUAUCAGCUUGUUGGUGAGGUAAUGGCUCACCAAGGCGACGACGGGUAGCCGGCCUGAGAGGGCGACCGGCCACACUGGGACUGAGACACGGCCCAGACUCCUACGGGAGGCAGCAGUGGGGAAUAUUGCACAAUGGGCGAAAGCCUGAUGCAGCGACGCCGCGUGAGGGAUGACGGCCUUCGGGUU
Molecule: ribosomal RNA, 399 nt
Filed under: Streptomyces sp.
Lineage: Bacteria; Bacillati; Actinomycetota; Actinomycetes; Kitasatosporales; Streptomycetaceae
Description: bacterial SSU rRNA
Rfam family: Bacterial small subunit ribosomal RNA
Source: RNAcentral